CCUACGGGUGGCAGCGGUGGGGAAUAUUGGACAAUGGGCGAAAGCCUGAUCCAGCCAUGCCGCGUGUGUGAAGAAGGCCUUCGGGUUGUAAAGCACUUUCAGUGGGGAAGAAAGCCUUGGGGCUAAUACCCUCGAGGAAGGACAUCACCCACAGAAGAAGCACCGGCUAACUCCGUGCCAGCAGCCGCGGUAAUACGGAGGGUGCGAGCGUUAAUCGGAAUUACUGGGCGUAAAGCGCGCGUAGGCGGUCUGAUAAGCCGGUUGUGAAAGCCCCGGGCUCAACCUGGGAACGGCAUCCGGAACUGUCAGGCUAGAGUGCAGGAGAGGAAGGUAGAAUUCCCGGUGUAGCGGUGAAAUGCGUAGAGAUCGGGAGGAAUACCAGUGGCGAAGGCGGCCUUCUGGACUGACACUGACGCUGAGGUGCGAAAGCGUGGGUAGCAAACAGGAUUAGAUACCCCAGUAGUC
This 465-nucleotide ribosomal RNA is filed under the name Vreelandella stevensii. RNAcentral's name for it is "partial 16S ribosomal RNA". It matches the Rfam family "Bacterial small subunit ribosomal RNA", at positions 338 to 795 of the family's 1533-position model. Lineage: Bacteria; Pseudomonadati; Pseudomonadota; Gammaproteobacteria; Oceanospirillales; Halomonadaceae. The record is from RNAcentral.